GUCCCCUUAGUAAAACGGAUAUUACGAAUCCCUCCUAAGGAUUAAGUGCAGGUUCGAUUCCUGCAGGGGACA
This 72-nucleotide transfer RNA is filed under the name Listeria ivanovii. Its description in RNAcentral is "tRNA_Arg_CCT". It matches the Rfam family "tRNA". Rfam says of the family: Transfer RNA (tRNA) molecules are approximately 80 nucleotides in length. Their secondary structure includes four short double-helical elements and three loops (D, anti-codon, and T loops). Further hydrogen bonds mediate the characteristic L-shaped molecular structure. tRNAs have two regions of fundamental functional importance: the anti-codon, which is responsible for specific mRNA codon recognition, and the 3' end, to which the tRNAs corresponding amino acid is attached (by aminoacyl-tRNA synthetases). tRNAs cope with the degeneracy of the genetic code in two manners: having more than one tRNA (with a specific anti-codon) for a particular amino acid; and 'wobble' base-pairing, i.e. permitting non-standard base-pairing at the 3rd anti-codon position. RNAcentral also lists the same sequence under 9 other names. Lineage: Bacteria; Bacillati; Bacillota; Bacilli; Caryophanales; Listeriaceae. The record is from RNAcentral.